AACGAACGCUGGCGGCAUGCCUAACACAUGCAAGUCGAACGAACUCUUCGGAGUUAGUGGCGCACGGGUGCGUAACGCGUGGGAAUCUGCCCUUGGGUACGGAAUAACUCAGAGAAAUUUGUGCUAAUACCGUAUAAUGUCUUCGGACCAAAGAUUUAUCGCCAAAGGAUGAGCCCGCGUAAGAUUAGCUAGUUGGUAGG
This 200-nucleotide ribosomal RNA is filed under the name uncultured bacterium. Its description in RNAcentral is "partial 16S ribosomal RNA". It matches the Rfam family "Bacterial small subunit ribosomal RNA", at positions 29 to 256 of the family's 1533-position model. The record is from RNAcentral.